Molecule: long non-coding RNA, 1643 nt
Organism: Ictalurus punctatus (channel catfish)
Lineage: Eukaryota; Metazoa; Chordata; Actinopteri; Siluriformes; Ictaluridae
Exons: 3
Source: RefSeq, a predicted model, not a curated record
GAUUGUCCUUCAUGUCAUUAGUCUGUACCUAUAAGCAGGAAGUCCCACAAUGCCUUGCAAAGAAUGAACAAAAAACUGUGUGCAGAGGGGCUGCAGGAGCUGUGAUAUGGUUCCUGAAUAAUCUAUCUUAGUGAUGUGUUGUUUAUGUCUUACCAAGAAAUGAAUGCUUUAUUAACCUUCAAUGUUUCCCACCCCCAGUGUAUCAGCGCUGUAGCCCAGACGUCUUGGAUUCAACAGUGCCAUGCUCUCAACAACCAGCUGCUUCCUGCUCUCCUAGUGGCUAUCACCCUGACUACUCAGUCGGAUACGCUGACCCGAUCGAUCAGGAUCCAUACUGGAGAGCAGGUGAUGUUCCAGAGUCCAGGACGAGUGACCUGGGCAUAGAGAAAGAGGAACUGGACGCUAUAUUAGAGCUGGCGUUGGACAUGCAGGAUGAAGUUGAUGUCCGGACGUUGCUGCAGCUAUCACUCACCUGUUAAGACAGCUUGAGUGGGUGAUACGAACCCGUAGUGGUGCUACGAAAAAUAAUCUGCCAAACAAAAUGAAUCAAAGAGACAGAGACUGAAUGCAGUCGAUACAAAAAAAAAUCAUUUGUAAAAUAGACAUUUGAUUGAAUGACAGUUUAUAGUUUUUAUGUGUAUUUUAGGAAAAUAUAAGAUGUAAAUUAUGUCCAAGUCACUUGAGAGCAUUACUGUAAAUUAAUGUAAUCCUACAGCUCUCUAGAUUAUUUGUUGUAAUAAUAAUAAGAAGGAGAAUUGUGUUUCACAUUUUUUAGACCUGAAUGUUAUAAAUGUUAGGAAGAUUUUUUUUUUUUUUUUUAAUAUCUUAUCUUUUUUAUUUAUUCGUUUCAGGCAUACUGUUUUAGUCUUUUUUCCUCAUUUACAAGCCGUUUAUUUAGAAAUGUGAUAUUUAGAUAUUUAAACAAAAUCAAAUUUCAUAUAUCAUGCAGUUUUAAGUCAAAAAAUAAAGAUAUGGGAUCGAUGCAUGAAAGGGUUCAUUAUUAUACUCUGGCACGAAUACGACACCUUUGUGUUGCUAUAUGAGUAAGAAACAUAAACACCCAUGUGGCCGGUGUUAGCCGCUGGAACAAUAUCUACGACUCUGUGUAGACCAGCACACUGACAGGUACACACACCACAGGAAAACUGCAAAUAUUUGCCUGUGCUAAGAGCGGCCUGUUCUCCUGAAGCUCUUAUUUAAUGAAGUAUAACCUUGUUGAAGGGCAAACAGUUGGAGCUGUUUUAGUGAUGUUUUAGUGUUGUAGCUCUAUAGCUCUCUAGAUUAUUUGUUGUAAUAAUAAGAUGAUUUUGUGUUUCACAUUUUUUUAGACCUGAAUGUUAUAAAUGUUAGGAAGAUUUCUUGUUUAUUUUUUAAUAUCUUAUCUUUUUUAUCUAUUCAUUUCAGGCAUACUGUUUUAGUCUUUUUUAUGCUGCCUGACAUGUAGAGAAGUAACUGUUACCAAUAAAGUGAAUUAUUUCUUUUAACAGCAUGUCCUGAAGUGCUUUAUUCCUCUUAUACUACAGCAGUUUUUAUUUAUUAAGGAACAACACAUACCUGUUUAUCUGUUUAUAGCUGUGUUGUAGAAAGUCUGAGAAACAAAGUAGUUUCUUAUCACUUGUGUUGUAAGACCUAUAAACAGUCGA